Molecule: long non-coding RNA, 165 nt
Organism: Puntigrus tetrazona (Sumatra barb)
Lineage: Eukaryota; Metazoa; Chordata; Actinopteri; Cypriniformes; Cyprinidae
Exons: 3
Source: RefSeq, a predicted model, not a curated record
UGCGAUGUCUGGAGGAAAGAAGGCAGAGCCGGUCCCUGGAAAAAUGCAGGGAUCACUGGAGGACCAAAUUGUGGCAGCCAACCCUCUGCUGGAGGCUUAUGGUAAUGCCAAGACUGUGAGGAACGACAACUCCUCUCGUUUUGGUAAAUUUAUCAGGAUUCAUAA